GGAUUGUGGCUCAGUGGUUGAGUACCUGCUCAGCACUUAUGAGGCACUGGGUUCGAUCCUCAGCACCA
This 68-nucleotide transfer RNA is filed under the name Marmota monax (woodchuck). Its description in RNAcentral is "tRNA.Ala". The record is from RNAcentral. Lineage: Eukaryota; Metazoa; Chordata; Mammalia; Rodentia; Sciuridae.